GUGGGGAAUAUUGGGCAAUGGGCGCAAGCCUGACCCAGCAACGCCGCGUGAGGGAAGAAGGCUUUCGGGUUGUAAACCUCUGUCCUUGGUGACGAAAAAAAUGACGGUAGCCAAGGAGGAAGCCCCGGCUAACUACGUGCCAGCAGCCGCGGUAAUACGUAGGGGGCGAGCGUUGUCCGGAAUUACUGGGCGUAAAGGGUGCGUAGGUGGCCUUUUAAGUUGGAUGUGAAAUACCCGGGCUUAACUUGGGGGGUGCAUCCAAAACUGGGAGGCUAGAGUGCAGGAGAGGAAAGCGGAAUUCCUAGUGUAGCGGUGAAAUGCGUAGAUAUUAGGAGGAACACCAGUGGCGAAGGCGGCUUUCUGGACUGUAACUGACACUGAGGCACGAAAGCGUGGGGAGCAAACAGGAUUAGAUACCCUGGUAGUCC
This 428-nucleotide ribosomal RNA is filed under the name uncultured bacterium. RNAcentral describes it as "partial 16S ribosomal RNA". It matches the Rfam family "Bacterial small subunit ribosomal RNA", at positions 354 to 796 of the family's 1533-position model. The record is from RNAcentral.